Molecule: ribosomal RNA, 433 nt
Filed under: uncultured bacterium
Lineage: Bacteria
Description: partial 16S ribosomal RNA
Rfam family: Bacterial small subunit ribosomal RNA
Source: RNAcentral
AACGAACGCUGGCGGCAUGCCUAACACAUGCAAGUCGAACGAGACCUUCGGGUCUAGUGGCGCACGGGUGCGUAACGCGUGGGAACCUGCCCUUAGGUUCGGAAUAACUCCCCGAAAGGGGUGCCAACAGCGGACAAUGUCUUCGGACCAAAGAUUUAUCGCCUUUGGAUGGGCCCGCGUUGGAUUAGCUAGUUGGUAGGGUAAAAGCCUACCAAGGCGACGAUCCAUAGCUGGUCUGAGAGGAUGAUCAGCCACCCUGGGACUGAGACCCGGCCCAGACUCCUACGGGAGGCAGGAGUGGGGAAUAUUGGAAAGUGGGCGAAAGCCUGAAGCAGCGAGGCCGCGUGAGUGAUGAAGGCCUUAGGGAUGUAAAGCUCUUUUAACCGGGAUGAUAAUGACAGUACCGGGAGAGUAAGCGCCGGCUAACUCCGUG